This 3117-nucleotide long non-coding RNA is filed under the name Homo sapiens (human). Its description in RNAcentral is "HSALNT0397811". The record is from RNAcentral. Lineage: Eukaryota; Metazoa; Chordata; Mammalia; Primates; Hominidae.
GGAGCCCGGCGGACGCUGGGUCUGCAGAUGCCAUCCAGGCGCACGGCGGGUAUAGUGGUUCCGCAACCUUGGGAUGUUCGGCUGAGCGCCUGCCUAACAUGGGAGCGCCUGCCUAACCCUCCUGACUGGAGGGUCAGCGGCGGGGAGUCCUGGCCUUCAAUCGGCCAUCGCCACGGCAGAAACUGGGGCCCGGGCUGCGUCCAGGCCCUUCCCCGUCCGUCCACAGGUCUCAUGGGCGCCCGGACUGGGGCUGAUGUAGUUUCCCGACCUCUGACACAUAGGAUCUGGAGAUUAAAGCUGCUCUGCUAAUAAUUAGGUUCCCACCUCUCAAGAUCAUUAGGAGCUUCUUUUCCAAUUCCUCUGUUUUGCAUGCAUUGGAAGUUCCUCCCCUAACCUGGUGCUAAAUUAGAUCAUAGUGUGGUCCUUGGACCAACAGUAUCAAUAGCACCUGAAAGUCAUGCUGGAAAUACAGAUUCACAGGCUGCUCCCCAGAAUACUGAAGAAGAAACUCUAGGAGUGAGACCCAACAAUCUGUGUUUAACAAGUCCCCAGGCCCCUGGAUCCUCCUGGAAUCCCUGAUCCCUGUUGCUCCCUGGCGGAGUUUUCUAGUCCCUCUUACUUGAAGCAUGUCUUUCAGAGCCCGGCACCACCCAAGUUGGGUAUCUGCUACACCUCUAUGGUAUUUUUUUCACCUCAUAUCAUACCUUCCUCCCUCACUGGACUUCAGUGUGGGACCUGCAGGUCUCAGGCCUUCUGGGAAGUCCCAGCUUUUCUUGAAUGUUCUCUCUCUCUGGCCAGCUCAGGCUGGAGCAGUGGGUGUUGGUGCCAUCCUGUGGCUAUAGGUGAUAAGCCGGCUGUUCUUCACUGACCUGGUCUUACCUUGAACCCUGGAGUUCUCACAUGCAUGGAUUUAAAUGCUGUGUCUUUCUAAGGGCACAUUAUGGCCAUUUUCCUUAUCUCCCUCCCAAGGGGCUGUUUCCUGUAUUUAUUGACUCCCUGUUUAAAAAAAAUAUAUGUAUAUAUAGACAAAUUGGAUUGUACCCCAUAAACUGCAUGUUUUAAAAAUACUUCAAAGAAUAGUUUUUCAUUUUUUUCUUGCUGGUUUUUAUGUAUCUUCUAAAUUGUAUAUAUUUAUGGGGUAUAAAAUGAUGUUGUGAUUUUUCAAUACAGUGUGGAAUGAGAAUCAAAUUAACCUAUCCGUUACCUCAAGUACUUGACUUUUUUUGUGAUGAGAAGGCUGUUUAUCACUUUCACUCACCAGCUCCUGCUGUCUUCCAUGCUGGGGACAGGAAAGGCUCCACGCUUGACUUUCCCUCCUGUUUUCUUAUCUGCUGUCAACCCCUGAAUGUACCCUCCAGGAUUGACUUCUAGACCUUCUACAUCUAGCUCGAUCGUUGUGCACCCACCUUCCUCCCAGGGACUGUCCUUAGGGAGUGACUUUAUGCACAAACUUCACAUGCUCUUCCUGCCUCCUUCAUCCCCAGAAGCCCCCAUCUCAGCCCCAUCUGAUUAUUUCCUCCCUCUCUCAUUUCCUGUUAUGCUGUUGGUUUUCUAACCUGAAGGGUAACUUCUUACUCCUUAGUUUUUUGCCUUAAUUUCUAAGUCAUAGGCUACUUUCAGGCUAAAAGUUUUCCUCCAGCCAUGGUUUUAGUCUCAUUCUAUAAGUCUUGCUAGGUAGUUUAUUCAUUGGAAAUUUUUUGUUUUUGAGACAGAGUCUCGCUCUAUCACCCAGGCUGUAGUACAGUGGUGCCAUCUCAGCUCACUGCAACCUCCGGUUCCCGGGCUCAAGCAGUUCUCUUUCCUCAGCCUCCUGAGUAGCUGGGAUUAUGGGUGCCUGCCACCACACCCAGCUAAUUUUUGUAUUUUUAGCAGAGACGGCAUUUCACCAUGUCAGCCAGGUUGGUCUCGAACUCUUGACCUCAAGUGAUCCGCCCGCCUUGGCCUCCCAAAAUACUGGGAUUACAGGGGUGAGUCACCGCACCCCACCCCUUGGCACUAUAUUUAAGUGAUGAUAUUUUUGGACACUGAGGUAGCCUCAUUCCACAGGUUUAGAUCUGAAGCAUUUUCACUAUUGCUUCUUUCCAUGUAUUUCCUGGUUUGCAGGUCAGUUUCUUCUUUUAAUUCAUCAUUGACACAGUGGUUUAUAUGGCUUUUAAUUUCAAAAGAUUUUUUAAAAUAUCUUUUUGCCGAUUUUUAUCUAUGUUAAUUUUAACUAGACAUGUUCCCUGGAAGGACAUCACUAGUUUUUUUUUUUUUUUUCCCUCUGUUUAUAAUUUAGGUGGAUUUUCACAUCUCAAGCCAGCUAAGAGUAUGGGAAAUAGGACUCGUUAAAGCACAGGUAUCACACAAGUGAUUCAGAUUCACGAGGGUAAUCCAGAUGAAGGUAUAUCAUUGUACCUGGCCCGCAUCACUCAAUAACUGUCACCUUUGAUUUAUUGAUUUACUUGAGAUGGAGUUUGGUUCUGUCCCCGAGGCCGGAGUGCAAUGGCGUGAUCUCUGCUCACUACAACCUCUGCCUCCCAGGUUCAGAGUGAUUCUCCUGCCUCAGCCUCUUUAGCUGGGAUUACAGGCACCCACCAACAUGCCCAGCUAAUUUUUGUAUUUUUAGUAGAGAGGAGCUUUCACCAUAAUGGCCAGGCUGGUCUUGAACCUCAAAUGAUCUGCCCACCUUGGCCUCCCAAAGUGCUAGGAUUACAGGCUGGAGCUACGGAGCCCAGCCUGUCACCUUGAUUUAAAUGAAUGCAGCUUUCUUGGUGUCUUGAUGUUUGUGAAUUUCUGUGGAGUUUGAUACUGCUCCUUUUGCUGCUUGUUUUUCCAGAGUCCCCUUAUCACUUGACGUGCUGUUAUAUUAUGUUUGAUUUAUUACAGAUACCCCAUCAGCCUGAGUCUCUUAAAGGCCUUUAUACACAUAUGUCUACACAUAGGGAUUUGGAUGAUCUCGGGAUCCCACAUCCUCGCUGUCCCCUGUCCCCCCACAACAUCCCACACCAAUACCUUUCUGAAGUUUUCUAGUCCCUCCUUUUUGUUUGUGGUCCUUAAAGCCCAGCCCCAUGCCUGACUUUGGUUCCCAGUGAGCAUUGUACAUUUGUGGAUAUUAAAUCUUUGGCAAAGUCAUUU